This 443-nucleotide ribosomal RNA is filed under the name uncultured bacterium. RNAcentral describes it as "bacterial SSU rRNA". It matches the Rfam family "Bacterial small subunit ribosomal RNA", at positions 335 to 796 of the family's 1533-position model. The record is from RNAcentral.
ACUCCUACGGGAGGCAGCAGCAAGGAAUUUUCCCCAAUGGGCGCAAGCCUGAGGGAGCAACGCCGCGUGCAGGACGACGGCCUUCGGGUUGUAAACUGCUUUUGGGCGGGAAGAUUGUGACGGUACCGCCUGAAUAAGCCCCGGCUAACUCCGUGCCAGCAGCCGCGGUAAGACGGAGGGGGCAAGCGUUGUCCGGAAUCACUGGGCGUAAAGCGCACGUAGGCGGCCUGGUGCGUCGGUGCUGAAAGCGCCCCGCUUAACGGGGCGAGGCGUGCCGAUACGACUGGGCUGGAGGCAGGCAGAGGUGGCGGAAUUCCGGGUGUAGUGGUGAAAUGCGUAGAGAUCCGGAGGAACGCCGGUGGUGCAGACGGCCACCUGGGCCUGACCUGACGCUGAGGUGCGAAAGCGUGGGGAGCGAACCGGAUUAGAUACCCUGGUAGCUA